Non-coding RNA from Benincasa hispida (wax gourd), 1201 nucleotides. The record is from RefSeq and is a predicted model, not a curated record. Lineage: Eukaryota; Viridiplantae; Streptophyta; Magnoliopsida; Cucurbitales; Cucurbitaceae.
GUCACCUAGGGAAGCAUGUGCAACUAUUCACCCAUCUUCAACCUUCCUUCCCCCACUCUCUAGCCGACCCCCUCUGCCUCCAUCUUUCUUCUUCAUGUUAGCUUCAUGCCGCCGCAGAUCGCCAGCACCCAUUCGCUUGGACCUAACCAUUGCUAUCGUUGUGCCUCACCAUCGAGCCACCGGUUGUUGUUUCGUUCGCGCAUCGGUCGAAUCUCCGGCGUGCAGGUGAGCCGCCGUGCGUGUUCUCUAUAGGUCACUGCCGUUCUUGUGGGUCUCACCAAAUUUUGAUCGGAUUCUAGUUCAAUUUGGAAGGAAGUUUGAAGGCAUGAACGUGGUAUCCAAUGAUUUUAAAGAUUUUAUAUUUGAAGUUUUGAAGGGUUUUACUGAGCUGUCCACGGAGUUAAAGGUUAGUUUUGAGGCAAUUUUAUAUUCAAGGUCAAUUUGGGUAAAGUGUCAUGGUUUCUUUAGAGUGAAUCUAAUUUUUUUUUUGGGGGGCGGCUUGAAGAGGAUAAAAUUAAUUAUAUAUUGUGUUCUAGGAUUUACACCAAGAAGUUUUCAAGCUAUGAAGAUUGGGUUGAUUCAUUGAGCUAAGAUAAGUAAUUUACUAUCGGUUUGCGCUCGAACCCUAAGUUGAUGUUAAGACUGGGAAUACACUGAAAGCAUGUUUAUUACAUUAUGUUAUUGCUUGAUAUGAACUUGGACGAUGUAUGUUGCAUGUAGAUUGUGGUGGUUGUUAGAUUGUGGUGGUUGUUAUCAUUCCUAUCGGACUGUGUUCACUGAGUAUGAUUCGCCAUCCUUAUGGGAUCGCCACCUACGAUCAUGUUAUUGCAACUCUUCGGAGUCACUUGUUUUAUGAGGGUGUGCCUUUGGGUUCGCCCCUUAUGCUUAUAUUCGGAAUGUACACCUUUGUCUUGAUAGGAAAGUUGACAGGUACAUCUAGUGGGCCACUUAUUGGGUAUUUUUUUACUCACUCUACUAUCUACAUUUUUUUCCGGUAAAGGAAACGGCAGAACGACAAAUGACAAGAAGAAUUCGUGACCAGGCCUUGGGACUAGAUAUCGCUUCCGACAUGUUUUCUUUUCAUCUUUUCAUGUUUUCAUGUUUUAGUUUAGAAGUUAGACAAUUAAAUUAUUUGUUUAUUUGAUUUGGUUAUUUAUUUAGUUUAUUUUUGUAAAAAAAGUAAAGUUAGAGGUACCCCGAA